AACCUGUGAUGUAAAUUAACCCAUUUACUGAACUACAUUGAUUAUUUCAGUAAAAU
This 56-nucleotide small nuclear RNA is filed under the name Oryza sativa (Asian cultivated rice). Its description in RNAcentral is "D2 small nucleolar RNA". The record is from RNAcentral. Lineage: Eukaryota; Viridiplantae; Streptophyta; Magnoliopsida; Poales; Poaceae.